GCAUAUCAAUAAGCGGAGGAAAAGAAACUAACAAGGAUUCCCCUAGUAACGGCGAGUGAAGCGGGAUGAGCUCAAAUUUAAAAUCUGGCAGUCUAAGAUUGUCCGAGUUGUAGUCUAGAGAAGCGUUUUCCGCGUAGGCCUGUGUACAAGUCCCUUGGAAUAGGGCGUCAUAGAGGGUGAGAAUCCCGUCCUUGACACAGAUCAUCUAUGCUCUGCGAUGCGCUCUCGAAGAGUCGAGUUGUUUGGGAAUGCAGCUCAAAAUGGGUGGUAAAUUCCAUCUAAAGCUAAAUAUUGGCGAGAGACCGAUAGCGAACAAGUACCGUGAGGGAAAGAUGAAAAGCACUUUGGAAAGAGAGUUAAACAGUACGUGAAAUUGUUGAAAGGGAAACGAUUGAAGUCAGUCAUGUGGUUUGAGGUUCAGCCGGUUCUGCCGGUGUAUUCCUCAGACUACAGGCCAGCAUCAGUUUCGACCGGUGGAAAAAGUUGGAGGGAACGUGGCAUCCUCGGAUGUGUUAUAGCCCUCUUUCACAUGCAUCGGACGGGACUGAGGAACGCAGCGUGCCUUUAUGGUCGGUCUUCGGACACGAACGCGCUUAGGAUGCUGGCAUAAUGGCUUUAAACGACCCGUCUUGAAACACGGACCAAGGAGUCUAA
This 654-nucleotide ribosomal RNA is filed under the name Udeniomyces sp. 'pseudopyricola'. RNAcentral's name for it is "LSU rRNA". It matches the Rfam family "Eukaryotic large subunit ribosomal RNA", at positions 38 to 678 of the family's 3401-position model. The record is from RNAcentral. Lineage: Eukaryota; Fungi; Basidiomycota; Tremellomycetes; Cystofilobasidiales; Mrakiaceae.